RNAcentral lists this unclassified non-coding RNA (263 nucleotides) under plant metagenome. Its description in RNAcentral is "partial contains small subunit ribosomal RNA, internal transcribed spacer 1, and 5.8S ribosomal RNA". The record is from RNAcentral.
UGUCCGUAGGUGAACCUGCGGAAGGAUCAUUAUUGUAUAACCGAGGUGCGAGGGCUGUCGCUGACCCGAAAGGUCGUGCACGCCCGAGUGCCCUCACCCACAUCUAUCUCACCCCUAUUUGCAAUACCGCGUGGGUCCCCCUUUAGCUAGUUCGGAGGGGUGCUUACGUUUUGACACAAACUUUGUAUGCAGUGUAGAAUGUAUUUUUUGUUUUUGCGAUCACGCAAUCAAUACAACUUUCAACAACGGAUCUCUUGGCUCUG